Long non-coding RNA from Gallus gallus (chicken), 5674 nucleotides. RefSeq lists it as uncharacterized. Lineage: Eukaryota; Metazoa; Chordata; Aves; Galliformes; Phasianidae. The transcript is spliced from 2 exons. The record is from RefSeq and is a predicted model, not a curated record.
GCGCAUGCGCGGCAGCGGGGCUAGCGGGGCUAGCAGGGCUAGCUGGGCUCUGUGGCCCCGGCGCGCCCAGCGGGAUGGGAGCUGCCCGCGGCGCGGGGCGAGCGGGCCUGGCGGAAUGGUAACAGAGGAGUAGAAGCUGUGCACGAUGCUGCUAUUUGGAGAAUGGCACCCACCUCUGUUCAGACAAGAGUUGGCCGUUGUCAGGAGAACAGCUGAGUGCACUCAGCAUGGACUUCUAGUCUGCUACCAGAUCCUGUCUGGGACAGCAUCUGAAUUGCUCAUGUGCAAGGAGGCAAACUGUAUGGACAGCAGGAUGCCGAGAUACACAGAUGGGCUCAUGUUCAUAAUGCUUGGGGUGAUCACUUAUUCACAUAGCAUUCACAGUGUUUAUGGGCUCAUGCUUAUGUGGCUUGGGUAUAGCUUCUAUCAGUCUGGUCUGGAAUGGAGAAAUUUAGCUGGAGCAGUCCAGAGCGCAGCCAGGGCACCUGUGUGAUGCUGGUUCUGGUCUGUGAGCCCUGUCUGUGCCUCUAUGUAACACAAAAGAUGUACCCAUAGAAUGCUAGUCAGGAUCCAUAGCAAAUCAGCUGUAACAUAAAGGCAGAUUGGCCUGGUGUGACAGAGGCUGCCUGCCUGCUUGCAUGUGUUAGGUGAAAGUACAAGGGCUGCUGCAAAAGUAAUGUCUCCUAUUUUAUUAUGUUAGUCUGUGACAUAAAAAGCAGAUGUAUGGCAGCAGAGCUUGAACCUUCCACCAGUAUUCCAUUAUAUUUUGUUGCUGUGUGACAUAUGGCAGCAGAGGCGCGGUCUGACAGAAUGACUUUCUGACAUGGAAGUGCAUAUGAAGCAAAGGUGUGGAAUUAAAUUCCUUAAGGUGGAAAAAAUUGCACCCAUUGACAUUCGUUGGCACCUGCUGAACAUUUAUGGAGACCAAACAGUAGCUGUGAGCACAGUGAGGUGGUGGGUGGUGCAUUUCAGCGGUAGCAACAGUGAUGUGAAAGACAAGCCAUGUUCCCAGCUGCCCUGCACAGAUGCCAUCCCAUGAAAUGAAGAGCAUCUCAAUCAGCUCAUCCACAUGAAUCUGCUAAUGAUGGUGACUAUGUUGAAAAAUAGUGUUUUGUAGCUGAGAAUUUGAUCGAUCAAAUAGCAUUAUUGUGCUCUUUGUAUCUGUUGUUGUUUCCAUGGAAAUAAAUAGGAGGUAUGACUUUUGGAACAACCUGUGUACUUAUUGAGGCUUCUUACCAUGCUAUCAACUGCUCCUAAACUUAGUUGAGUGGCUGAUUGUGAGUAUGAAGGGGGAGUCUGAUGAAAACAAGCUGUUUAUUGUUCUCCACAGCAGCAAAAGAGACAGCUUUAUUGACUCAGAGGACCUGAGGUCUGCCUCGAGCAUCCCACUUCAUAAGCAAUGAGAAGGUCCAGUAGGCUGUGGCAACAGUGGAGGACUGAGGACCAGCAGAGCCUAUAGGCCAACUGCUGGAAACCAGGGACUGUCUAAGGUGUGAUCUUACCCCAGAUUUACUCAGAACAGCUGUCCAUUACACUUGAUAACAUCCUGGCACCCAAAAGAGCCAAGUACUUGUAUCAGACCUGAACAGUGGAAGUGGAAAGCAAGUCUGAAGGAUAAGUAUUGCAUUAUUAUAUUGAAUAAAAUGUUGGUUAGCAAUUGUUACAUAUUAAGUGGGAUCUGAAUUACUUAACACCCGUGCAAUCUAUUUUCUUCUCCAGAAACAGGGGACCGCUUGGAAGGACUGAGGUACCUCAACAAGAGCCAAGUAUUAUAUAAUCUGUGAAGGGUUUAUGACAGAGAUGGAAAUAAUUCUCAAAGACAAAAGCUAUUUAUAAGAUAUUUUCUGCAAAUAUUGCACUGUUUGGAUGGUUUUCAGUUGAUCAUUAAUUACUUUUUUAGAGAGAAAAUUUCUGCUCUGUUGAUCUUUUGGGGUCUACAUUUGGCAUCCGAGGAUGUCUGUGUCUGUAUUGUGCUGCUGCUCAUCUAUCUGCUGAUAUUCAACUUACAUUUAAUUUUUUAAUUUUCUCAGCUGUGAUCUACUGAUUCUAAUUUGCUGUAACUUAUAUUUUGAAGAGACUACUGAAGUGAUUCAGGAACUAGCCUAAGUAAACUGUUUUCAGGUAUUUCACAUAGCUUUGAAAAGUCAUGGAGGAUAGAAGAGACAGCAGAAGACUGAAAAAGAAACAUGAUAACUCUUGGAAAAGCAGAUGGAAGAGUACCCAAGUAAUUUUAAUUAAGUAGCCUAACUAACUUCCUGGAUUUUGGAAAAAAAAUAACCAGUUUCUAAAUGCCUAGAACAUGAUAAGGCAAUAAAAACUUGCUGACACGCGUCUCUCGACAACAUGUGAUACCAAACCAAAUGAAUGUCCUUUUUCUACAUAUGGCCUACUAGAUACAGAUGAAGCAGUAAAUAUUACUCCGUUCCCUGUUGAUACUUGUAAGUAACUAAAGAUGUACAUCCUAGACAAAAUCACUAGAAGGUGAGGAUAGAGGAGGACAACUGCUCAGCAAUACUACUUUUGAAAAGUAGCUGUGGGUUGCUGACAGUCAAUUUGAGAUGGCAUUUCAGGUAGGCUUUAGGAAUUUGGUGACUAUUUAAUGUGACAGGAUGAUUUUUAUUUUAUGCCAGGCUUUCUAUCUAAAUGGCAUAAAUAAAAAGGGCUGCAAUUCUAGGUCAUGUACAAACAGAAGUGACGCAGCUUGUUUCAGGUGAUUAAGUUCUGGGUCAAAGGACAAGAGUGCCACUCUUUGUGCUGUAGAUUGCUACUAGUUUCUUUCUGAGUCCUUUAAUGUGUCAUUAAAGUCCUCUGCCUGCCUUCUCCAGAGAGUCUCAGAGCUAAAACAUCGAUACUGUAAAAUAUACUACCCUGUUAUCAUACCGGUAAUAAUCCUAUGUGUUAAGCCUGAGAAUACAAACUAAGUGUAUAUUGUAAACUACAUAUUUUGUUCUGGUAAAUGAGAAAAAUUGCAAGAUGUUUACUUGCAAAAGGUGUUUUGCCUAGUUUCUCCAUACUUGAUGUUAAUCUGCCCUUGACAGCUAUUAAAGUAGAAAUUACUGCCACUGUAUUGCACAAAAGCAGAGAUUCUGCAAUUGUGAUUUUAAUGUAGUUUGGAACACUUUGUAGUCUUCAGAGUCAGACACAUUUUCCCCAUCGCCCAAAUUAUUUUAAAUUGCAAGUAAAGUUUUGCAAAGCUGUUACCAUUAUUUUCUCAGUUCACCUAAGCUGUUUUUACAAGACAUGUUAUCUAAGCGAAAUCACAACAUCUUUUAUUAAAGUAGUUAUAAGAGCAUUGAAACUGUCAGCUGUAAUUUGCAGCUUUUUCUCCUUUAGAUUCUGCACUAUUGCUGAAAAAAAAAAAAAACAAAACCAAAACCCACAGAAAACAAACCCCAGUAACCUAAGUUACAAUCCUUUUUUUUUUUAAUAUAUAUUUGCCCAGUGUGAAUUUUAGAGAAGAUACCUGUAAAAGUUUAUUUGAAGAGGAAAGAGCAGAACUGCCAAUGGGCAGCCUGAAAAAUGUCUGAUGAUGCUGUGGUCAAGAGCGUCACACCUAUGGGAUAAAGAGGAUAUUUUGUUGUCUUUGCAUCUUCUACAUGUAAGAGUGCAUUUAAGCUGAAGUGAAGGCCAGAACCUGAGCCCAGAACUACAGUCAAGGAGAAAGCAUCUUCUUUUUAGAUUUUUCUAUGACUUAGCCUGCAGUUCUGCCUACAAAUCUCCAAAUCACUGCUAGAGAAGCAGAUGCAGUUGUUUAUGUGCAGGUGUGCUGCAUACCUGAUGUAAUCCUGCAAGUUCUACAUCCACAGAACUUCUGCAGAAUUCUGAGUGAGGUCUGUGCUUGGAAGGCUUCCACAUCCAGGUUCUCACAUCAGGAAAACCUCAAUCAAAGCCCUCAAUCAAAGUUCAAAAGCAAACAAACAAGCGGUCUUUCCUUAUUGCUGACAUUAAUCUUAUCUGAGUCUCAGUCCCCCAGACCUCUCUCCUAUGAGUUACCUAGGUCUGUGACACAGACCAUAUUUUGUUUUCAGAUGCUAAUGUAGCUUUUACUUCAUGAUCACAUUAAUUGCAUUUGUGCGGUGGAGAUUUUUAAUCCCAAAAGGUGCUGCCAGCUUUUGUGUACUCAAUUUAUGCUUAAGAGGAGUUUCUGCACUUCACAGUGACCUCUGCUGACUUUCAUAUAUUUAAAUUCUGAAGUUGUGAAUCUCCUUGAUUCAUCUUCUGUUAAAGCAUGUCUGCUAUGCAAAAACUGGCAGGGGGGUUAAGGAGGAUGAAAAAAGCGGUAUUACAGAGAACCAGGAUAUGGCAUGGUAUUUGUUCCUUGAAGGCAUGUUGCCACCAAGAAUAACACCAAGAAUAAUGAUCACACAAAGAGAAAAAAAGAGUGCUGGAGAUCUAUGAAAUUUACUUGAUUUUGAAAAGCUUAGUUGAAGAAAGACCUAGAGGUCUGACAAUGCCUACUGAGCUCCUUAAAUGCAGCGGGUUGGCACUCUGUGGAUGUGGCAUAUCAUCUGUUGGACAGAGUAAGUCAGCCAUUCUCCUGGCUCUGCUCUAGCUAUGCACAGCUGGGAAUUUCACAUCAGGAAAGGGAGGAGGAUACACAAACUCCUGAUAUUUCAGAAGAUGUGCAUGCUAAAAUGCAAAGCCCUGGGUGCUGGAGGUAGCUGUGAUGAGUUUAUGGCGCAGGAGCCACAGCUGGUAGGAAGAUACAUGAUCUCACCCGAAAAUGCUGUGUUAUUUUAGUCUCUCUUUUACACACAUAGAAGAAUCAAACAGUUUGAGGAUGAGAGAUUUGAGAAGCAAAAUGGAAGAGAUCAGAUUGUUACACAAGAAGAACUAAGGGAGCUUUUAGUAGAUGAGUAGGAACAAGAUGAAAUGCUGUAAUACCCAGUGCAAGGUCAGUGGGUAUUAUUAAAGGCAAAACACUGGAAUUUCUGCUCUAGACGCUUGGUGAUUAAGGACUCCAUACAUGAACAAGUAGUUCUUGCUCCAGUCAUCAAACAGCCACACCAAAGAAUGAGUAAGAUGAAAGGCAAGGCUGCUGUGGAAUGUGGAGCUGAUGAGAUAGCCGCAUGCUGAGAACACGUUGGAGGUGAAAUCGAUGAGUGAAUUCAGUUGAUUGCACCUUCUGUAAAAUGUAAAGAAGCAGAGAAGAGUAAGAAGUUUUCAAUGAUUCUAAGAAAUCAGAGCAAAAAAAGACAAAACAAAAUCCCAAAACAACCUGAGAGACUGCUUCCAUGACACUGCAGUCUUAUGGGUUACGCUGUCAGCAAAAAGACUGUGAGUUUUCUGUAGACUCAGCAAGAAUGGCCAUGCGGCAGCAGUUAGCACUGUGUGCAAUGCUGGAAGUGAUAGGAACCAACUGGAGCAGUGACUGGAAGCAGAAGUCUUCAGAAGAGCAUCAGCAUUCUGUGAUGUGAGGAAAAUGCUGUCCUGCCCCUUUAUACUGGUGGUGUGUUUAGUGGACUGGGACAAAUAUCUCUCAUUAGAUGGGAAUUCUGAGUUUUUCCUUUCUUUUGUUUCAAUAACAUGAAUACUGGAGAAGGAAAGUAGGCUGCUCUGCAUCUGAAAGGGAAAGCAGUGAAGUCUGUGAUCUCUGUUUGCUUAAAUGCUAAACAGAAAGAAAGAAGAAAGAAGGAAAGAAGGAAAGAAAGAAAGAAGAAGGAAGGAAGGGAGG